Long non-coding RNA from Myxocyprinus asiaticus (Chinese sucker), 2953 nucleotides. RefSeq lists it as uncharacterized. Lineage: Eukaryota; Metazoa; Chordata; Actinopteri; Cypriniformes; Catostomidae. The record is from RefSeq and is a predicted model, not a curated record. The transcript is spliced from 4 exons.
AUUUAUUCAAUAAUAGAUGAUUUGUGUGAAAAUUGUAUUCUCUUCUGUGAAUAUUUACGCCUUCAGCAAUCUUCGAUGGUGCUGCAGGGAGUCUAAUGAUUGUCUUAAUUGACGAUAAUUAGUCAAGUCAAAAUGACCUUCAACCGAGAACUGAAGAAUUGAUCCGCGGGGGAACACAAAUAAAAGCCUGCAUAAUGUAGUACUUUUAAAGAAAUGCAUAUAUAAAAUUAAGAAUGGAAAUUACACAAUGGUUAACAUCUAUAGGACAUGAGUAGAGCACAUCUAAUAUAAUCAGACAAAAGUGUUUUUCUUUGAGAAAUUAAGGAAAAUGUCACGCUUGACGGCCACAGAUCGUUUAAUAUUUGUCAGGUGUAGAGAUUUUUGACGUCAGAAUGAAUGCAAUCGAUUGGCCAUUAGCCUACACACAUGUUGAUUUUUACUCUUUCUAAAGAUUUGUUUUUCAUUAGUGAAAUGAGAUUGUACAAUUGUAAUAUCCCAUGUCGUUUUAUUGUCAGUGUGUGAUUGUAAAGAGUAUUUGUAAGAUUAUUAAUAUUCCUGCCUCAUUACAUGGUGUUUUAUUAAGAAUGAACAGUUAAUCCUUUUUGUCUGGCAUGCAGUAAGGGAUACUUUACACCAGAGGGCAUGUAGUCCACAAAUCUGCCACCUGCAUGGCAUUGGCAUUCCAAUGGGGUCAGGCGCAACAGGCAGUGCCCGGCCACUUUUUUAGCCGUCUUGGUUUAGGAUUCAGGCGUGAAAACUAUAUACGCAAUGUAUGCAAUGCAUAGGGGCGCCACACAAAGAGGGGCGCCAACAUGACCCCCACCCCCCUGAAAGGCGAAUAUAUGUUCAAGGGGACCAUCCCCAGACUCAUGGACUGUUACAGGAAGGUGCUUAGAACAGUAAAAUGUAUAGAAAGAACAGACCGCCAUAUAUUCGCAAAAAUAGUUAUAAAAUACACACAGCCACACUUUUGCAGGUAUAAAUAUCACUGUUAGACCGAAUGUUGCUAUAUCAAUAAACAUAAGUUUAAAUAUAAUGUGCAUUAAAUUAUUCUCUCCUGUCUUCAUAUUUUAGAGACUCACAAUAAUUCUAAAAUCCUCUUUGAAACAUCAAUAGCAAAGGUUUAAUGUUGUUUAUAAACGUAAAACUUCCCCAAGAAAACUAUUCAAUAAAUUGAAUGGGAGUAAUUAAAUUAAAUAAAACAAAGUUUUGAACCAGUUCUACAAAUCAGACUUAAAAAUGAUACUAUAUACACAUGAUAAGCAAGUGAUCCACCGUUAACAAACGAUUAUUAAAAUACAUUUUAAAUCCGAGAUUGAUCAUCGCCUCGUCCGCCGUGUUUUUUUCCUCUCCAGUCCGCUGUGAUUGGUCGAGAGGAUCAGUAGUGGUGACUGUUGGGUAAUAGUCCGCUGUGGAGCCCACACUGAUGCGGACAUAGCCGAAGGGUGCAUUGAGGGUGCAAAGGGGGCGCUCGAGAGCACUCCUCGGAACGCUGAAAUGUCAAAUGGGACACCCUACGGUCUCAUGGACUUGGCGGCAAUGUCAAAUGAAGGCCUCGAGACUGCAUCAGUCCACAUCAAGUGUGCCAUUCAGGACAGGGCCAAUAUCGCAUACACCCCCGUAAAUGGGUAGUUGCACCCCUAUUCAGAUUAUUACAAAUAUACACAUAUAUAUUUGUGUCAUUUGCAGUGUGUCACGAAGUGGGCAGUCGCUGCUAGACUCGUUUGGUGGGCUUUGUUGGCUGAUUGGUGAAUCGUUUCUCUUCAGGAUUAUGGAUACUGUAGAUCUUCAGAAAUUCCUCUAUGAAACACGCUUUUAAAAACACUAAGUUGAAAUAACACAAAAUGGCUUCAACAGAAGCAUAUACCAUCGAAUAACAACCUCAGAGCUCACAGUAGGUCUGUUUUUAAAGGUUUAUGGAGAAAGUUAAUGGGAUUUUUACAUCCAUAACCAGACUGUUGCACUCUGUCGGUCCCCGUUAGCCCCUGCAGGUAAAUGCUGGAACUACUAACUGUUAUGGCAAAAAGCAUGUUUCUCCAUUAACAGCAAUUCAAAAGUAGACAUGAUUUCUGACUAAAUUUAUUUUUCCAAGAAACAUUUCAAUCAUUACAUUGAAAUUGUAUUACAUUACAUCGUUUCCUAGUGACAGAUUGUUUUUGAAGGUCUAUUAACACUGUGAAAUGGACAAAAGGUGCUUAGUGCACAUCCAUGAGUGCCAUCAUAUUGAGAUCACUUGACCAGCCAAAUAUUUCUUGUUGUAUCUCGAUAAUCCCUUGUAAUUGGACACUUUCACUUGAGGAAUAGUUUAAUCAAUGCUGAAAGCAAAUAUUACUUGUUUACAAUGAGUUAUCAAUAACUGAGAACACAUUUUACAAGUGACGAGUUAUACAAAUUCACAAGUUUUAAAGAAAUGUAUAUGAAAAAUGUGUGCUUACAAAGGCUACAGAAUAUUUUCUUGUAUGAAUGUAACAGGGCCCAACCUGUUUAUUUUUCUGGCAGUCACAAGCCACCCCCUGCUGAUGUACACUGAAAAAAUGGUGUAUGUGGUACAUGCUGCUGCCAGGGUGUGCAUCUGGCUGAACACUGCCAUUGAAGCUGAGGGUCACUUUAAAACAGGAGAUGUGUGAUCCAUCAGAAGCUCGUCUCUUGUGGAAGGUCUGCUGUUUCUAUAACACACACACACAGGAAAGCAGAAAUCAUCAUUGACUGCAGUACCCAAUGUGAUGCCCAAUAAGAAUGGACAAGAAAUCAGUCUUUGCAAUGAAAGUGGCUACUCUUAGUAAAUGGAGGUUUACUGGAGGAUAACCAGAAUGACAUUUUAUUGUACACUAUCUAUUUUGUGUACUUAUCUGCCUAGUAUUAAAUGUACAUGUUUGAGAACAUUUCACUUUUUUGUAUGAUCCCUCAGUGCUAUUGCCAAUCCAAAUAAAUUAUUCUGUUAAAAAAAAAAAAA